RNAcentral lists this ribosomal RNA (960 nucleotides) under Triticum aestivum (bread wheat). Its description in RNAcentral is "partial small subunit ribosomal RNA". The record is from RNAcentral. Lineage: Eukaryota; Viridiplantae; Streptophyta; Magnoliopsida; Poales; Poaceae.
AUGGAAACCAGAUCCCUGCGCCAAGCGCGAAUCCGCCUCAUCGCCAUGGAUCCAUCCGUCCAGUCGUUUCUGGAGCGCCUAGAGACCACUCUCAAGGAGCAUACCGCCGCGAUUCAUGCCUCCAACUCCAAGAUCGACGACCUCGUGGCGUGGCGCCCGGAUCUUGAGCGGCGCGUCACCGAUCUGUCCGAAGCGGUGGCGGUCCUCCAACGUACCUCGCUGUCGCCGCCGCCUCCGGAGAUGGCGCUCCACCAGGCGCCUUCGUCGAGCCUACAAUCGCCUGCGACAGCCGGCAUCCACACCAGGGCCGCGUCUGGCACGGCAGCAACUUUGCAAGGGCCCGAAGGCCACGGCGUCUACAACAUCCAACGGGGGCCACCGGCGGUGUCCUUCCAGACGCCGCCACCGCCCCCGGCAAACGGUCAGUACGACGCCCCCGCCCCCUCACCUCCUGCUCUUUCCCCAUUCGCGCACGCUAGCCAGCUGCUCAGCGGCCUCGGCCAAGCGCACCCCUCCGUCCAGUUCCCACAGUUCACGGGCGACAACCCGAAACUAUGGAAAACCCUUUGCGAGCAGUAUUUCACCAUGUUUGCUAUUCUGCCGUCGUUUUGGGUACCCAUGGCCACGCUGAACUUCUCUGGUUCCGCGUCAAUUUGGCUACAAUCCAUUCAGAAACGGCCUGCAGAAUUCGAUUGGGAGUCAUUCACUGCCCUUUUGUGCACACGCUUUGGCCGUGAUCGACAUCAAACGUUGAUCCGUCAGUUUUACACUGUUCGACAAACAACUACAAUCGGAGAUUACAUUGAGCAAUUUGAGUCCAUUAUUAAUCAUCUCAAUUUAUUUCCUCACUCGUUUUGUGGAGGGACUCCGGAAGGACAUCCGAGCUGUGGUGUUAGUUCAAAGGCCACCGGACCCGGACACUGCUUGUGCCCUGGCGCUGCUCCAGGAAGAAGUGGCUGA